UGAGUUUCUCCUCCUACCCCCACC
RNAcentral lists this non-coding RNA (24 nucleotides) under Rattus norvegicus (Norway rat). Lineage: Eukaryota; Metazoa; Chordata; Mammalia; Rodentia; Muridae. The record is from RNAcentral.